UUGGGUUAAGUCCCGCAACGAGCGCAACCCUCGUCUUUAGUUGCCAGCAUUAAGUUGGGCACUCUGGAGAGACUGCCGGUGACAAACCGGAGGAAGGUGGGGAUGACGUCAAGUCAGCAUGCCCCUUACGUCUUGGGCUACACACGUACUACAAUGCUUCGGACAAAGGGUUGCAAGCGUGCGAACGCAAGCUAAUCCCAUAAACCGAGGCUCAGUUCAGAUUGCAGGCUGCAACUCGCCUGCAUGAAGGCGGAAUCGCUAGUAAUCGCAGGUCAGCAUACUGCGGUGAAUACGUUCCCGGGCCUUGUACACACCGCCCGUCACACCAUGGGAGUUGGCCACGCCCGAAGUCGUUACUCCAACCGUUCGCGGAGGAGGAUGCCGAAGGCAGGGCUGAUGACUGGGGUGAAGUCGUAACAAGGUAACCAAGCCGAAUUC
RNAcentral lists this ribosomal RNA (438 nucleotides) under uncultured cyanobacterium. Its description in RNAcentral is "bacterial SSU rRNA". It matches the Rfam family "Bacterial small subunit ribosomal RNA", at positions 1075 to 1533 of the family's 1533-position model. The record is from RNAcentral. Lineage: Bacteria; Bacillati; Cyanobacteriota.